CCUACGGGUGGCAGCAGUGGGGAAUAUUGCGCAAUGGGCGAAAGCCUGACGCAGCGACGCCGCGUGAGGGAUGAAGGUCUUCGGAUCGUAAACCUCUGUCAGUAGGGAAGAACGGUCACUGUGCUAAUCAGCAGUGAAUUGACGGUACCUGCAAAGGAAGCACCGGCUAACUCCGUGCCAGCAGCCGCGGUAAUACGGAGGGUGCGAGCGUUAAUCGGAAUUACUGGGCGGAAAGCGCUCGUAGGCGGUAUGUCAAGUCAAGGGUGAAAUCCCCGCGCUCAACGUGGGAACUGCCUUUGAAACUGGCAAACUGGAGUGUGUGAGAGGAUAGUGGAAUGCCAGGUGUAGGAGUGAAAUGCGUAGAUAUCAGGAGGAACAUCAGUGGCGAAGGCGACUAUCUGGCACAUAACUGACGCUGAGGAGCGAAAGCGUGGGUAGCAAACAGGAUUAGAUACCCUUGUAGUC
This 465-nucleotide ribosomal RNA is filed under the name uncultured bacterium. Its description in RNAcentral is "partial 16S ribosomal RNA". It matches the Rfam family "Bacterial small subunit ribosomal RNA", at positions 338 to 795 of the family's 1533-position model. The record is from RNAcentral.